UUAAGUUAUUAAGGGCGCACGGUGGAUGCCUUGGCACUAGAAGCCGAUGAAGGACGUUACUAACGACGAUAUGCUUUGGGGAGCUGUAAGUAAGCUUUGAUCCAGAGAUUUCCGAAUGGGGAAACCCAGCAUGAGUUAUGUCAUGUUAUCGAUAUGUGAAUACAUAGCAUAUCAGAAGGCACACCCGGAGAACUGAAACAUCUUAGUACCCGGAGGAAGAGAAAGAAAAUUCGAUUCCCUUAGUAGCGGCGAGCGAAACGGGAAGAGCCCAAACCAACAAGCUUGCUUGUUGGGGUUGUAGGACACUCUAUACGGAGUUACAAAGGACGACAUUAGACGAAUCAUCUGGAAAGAUGAAUCAAAGAAGGUAAUAAUCCUGUAGUCGAAAAUGUUGUCUCUCUUGAGUGGAUCCUGAGUACGACGGAGCACGUGAAAUUCCGUCGGAAUCUGGGAGGACCAUCUCCUAAGGCUAAAUACUCUCUAGUGACCGAUAGUGAACCAGUACCGUGAGGGAAAGGUGAAAAGCACCCCGGAAGGGGAGUGAAAUAGAACCUGAAACCGUGUGCUUACAAGUAGUCAGAGCCCGUUAAUGGGUGAUGGCGUGCCUUUUGUAGAAUGAACCGGCGAGUUACGAUUUGAUGCAAGGUUAAGCAGUAAAUGUGGAGCCGUAGCGAAAGCGAGUCUGAAUAGGGCGUUUAGUAUUUGGUCGUAGACCCGAAACCAGGUGAUCUACCCUUGGUCAGGUUGAAGUUCAGGUAACACUGAAUGGAGGACCGAACCGACUUACGUUGAAAAGUGAGCGGAUGAACUGAGGGUAGCGGAGAAAUUCCAAUCGAACCUGGAGAUAGCUGGUUCUCUCCGAAAUAGCUUUAGGGCUAGCCUCAAGUGAUGAUUAUUGGAGGUAGAGCACUGUUUGGACGAGGGGCCCCUCUCGGGUUACCGAAUUCAGACAAACUCCGAAUGCCAAUUAAUUUAACUUGGGAGUCAGAACAUGGGUGAUAAGGUCCGUGUUCGAAAGGGAAACAGCCCAGACCACCAGCUAAGGUCCCAAAAUAUAUGUUAAGUGGAAAAGGAUGUGGCGUUGCCCAGACAACUAGGAUGUUGGCUUAGAAGCAGCCAUCAUUUAAAGAGUGCGUAAUAGCUCACUAGUCGAGUGACACUGCGCCGAAAAUGUACCGGGGCUAAACAUAUUACCGAAGCUGUGGAUUGUCCUUUGGACAAUGGUAGGAGAGCGUUCUAAGGGCGUUGAAGCAUGAUCGUAAGGACAUGUGGAGCGCUUAGAAGUGAGAAUGCCGGUGUGAGUAGCGAAAGACGGGUGAGAAUCCCGUCCACCGAUUGACUAAGGUUUCCAGAGGAAGGCUCGUCCGCUCUGGGUUAGUCGGGUCCUAAGCUGAGGCCGACAGGCGUAGGCGAUGGAUAACAGGUUGAUAUUCCUGUACCACCUAUAAUCGUUUUAAUCGAUGGGGGGACGCAGUAGGAUAGGCGAAGCGUGCGAUUGGAUUGCACGUCUAAGCAGUAAGGCUGAGUAUUAGGCAAAUCCGGUACUCGUUAAGGCUGAGCUGUGAUGGGGAGAAGACAUUGUGUCUUCGAGUCGUUGAUUUCACACUGCCGAGAAAAGCCUCUAGAUAGAAAAUAGGUGCCCGUACCGCAAACCGACACAGGUAGUCAAGAUGAGAAUUCUAAGGUGAGCGAGCGAACUCUCGUUAAGGAACUCGGCAAAAUGACCCCGUAACUUCGGGAGAAGGGGUGCUCUUUAGGGUUAACGCCCAGAAGAGCCGCAGUGAAUAGGCCCAAGCGACUGUUUAUCAAAAACACAGGUCUCUGCUAAACCGUAAGGUGAUGUAUAGGGGCUGACGCCUGCCCGGUGCUGGAAGGUUAAGAGGAGUGGUUAGCUUCUGCGAAGCUACGAAUCGAAGCCCCAGUAAACGGCGGCCGUAACUAUAACGGUCCUAAGGUAGCGAAAUUCCUUGUCGGGUAAGUUCCGACCCGCACGAAAGGCGUAACGAUUUGGGCACUGUCUCAACGAGAGACUCGGUGAAAUCAUAGUACCUGUGAAGAUGCAGGUUACCCGCGACAGGACGGAAAGACCCCGUGGAGCUUUACUGUAGCCUGAUAUUGAAAUUCGGCACAGCUUGUACAGGAUAGGUAGGAGCCUUUGAAACGUGAGCGCUAGCUUACGUGGAGGCGCUGGUGGGAUACUACCCUAGCUGUGUUGGCUUUCUAACCCGCACCACUUAUCGUGGUGGGAGACAGUGUCAGGCGGGCAGUUUGACUGGGGCGGUCGCCUCCUAAAAGGUAACGGAGGCGCUCAAAGGUUCCCUCAGAAUGGUUGGAAAUCAUUCAUAGAGUGUAAAGGCAUAAGGGAGCUUGACUGCGAGACCUACAAGUCGAGCAGGGUCGAAAGACGGACUUAGUGAUCCGGUGGUUCCGCAUGGAAGGGCCAUCGCUCAACGGAUAAAAGCUACCCCGGGGAUAACAGGCUUAUCUCCCCCAAGAGUUCACAUCGACGGGGAGGUUUGGCACCUCGAUGUCGGCUCAUCGCAUCCUGGGGCUGUAGUCGGUCCCAAGGGUUGGGCUGUUCGCCCAUUAAAGCGGUACGCGAGCUGGGUUCAGAACGUCGUGAGACAGUUCGGUCCCUAUCCGUCGUGGGCGUAGGAAAUUUGAGAGGAGCUGUCCUUAGUACGAGAGGACCGGGAUGGACAUACCUCUGGUGUACCAGUUGUCGUGCCAACGGCAUAGCUGGGUAGCUAUGUGUGGACGGGAUAAGUGCUGAAAGCAUCUAAGCAUGAAGCCCCCCUCAAGAUGAGAUUUCCCAACUUCGGUUAUAAGAUCCCUCAAAGAUGAUGAGGUUAAUAGGUUCGAGGUGGAAGCAUGGUGACGUGUGGAGCUGACGAAUACUAAUCGAUCGAAGACUUAAUCAA
Molecule: ribosomal RNA, 2921 nt
Filed under: Staphylococcus aureus M16438
Lineage: Bacteria; Bacillati; Bacillota; Bacilli; Caryophanales; Staphylococcaceae
Description: bacterial LSU rRNA
Rfam family: Bacterial large subunit ribosomal RNA
Source: RNAcentral